Molecule: ribosomal RNA, 450 nt
Filed under: uncultured Glomus
Lineage: Eukaryota; Fungi; Glomeromycota; Glomeromycetes; Glomerales; Glomeraceae
Description: SSU rRNA
Rfam family: Eukaryotic small subunit ribosomal RNA
Source: RNAcentral
AGCAGCCGCGGUAAUUCCAGCUUCAAUAGCGUAUAUUAAAGUUGUUGCAGUUAAAAAGCUCGUAGUUGAAUUUCGAGACCGGCUUACUGGUCGUGCUAUUGUGCGUACUGGUAUAAUCGGUUUCUCCUUUCUGACGAACUAUAAUGCCAUUAAUUUGGUGUUAUAGGGAAUCAGGACUGUUACUUUGAAAAAAUUAGAGUGUUUAAAGCAGGCUCACGCUUGAAUACAUUAGCAUGGAAUAACGGAAUAGGACGUUUGAUUCUAUUUUGUUGGUUUCUAGGAUCGACGUAAUGAUUAAUAGGGAUAGUUGGGGGCAUUAGUAUUCAAUUGUCAGAGGUGAAAUUCUUGGAUUUAUUGAAGACUAACUACUGCGAAAGCAUUUGCCAAGGAUGUUUUCAUUAAUCAAGAACGAAAGUUAGGGGAUCGAAGACGAUCAGAUACCGUCGUAGU